RNAcentral lists this ribosomal RNA (402 nucleotides) under Verrucomicrobiota bacterium. Its description in RNAcentral is "Verrucomicrobia bacterium partial 16S ribosomal RNA". It matches the Rfam family "Bacterial small subunit ribosomal RNA", at positions 355 to 776 of the family's 1533-position model. The record is from RNAcentral. Lineage: Bacteria; Pseudomonadati; Verrucomicrobiota.
UGGGGAAUUUUGCACAAUGGGGGAAACCCUGAUGCAGCGACGCCGCGUGAUUUAGAAGGCCUUCGGGUUGUAAAAAUCUUUUGUAUGGGAAGAAAAUGACAGUACCAUACGAAUAAGGACCGGCUAAUUACGUGCCAGCAGCCGCGGUAAUACGUAAGGUCCGAGCGUUGUCCGGAAUCAUUGGGCGUAAAGGGUACGUAGGCGGAUAAGCAAGUUAGAAGUGAAAUCCUAUAGCUCAACUAUAGUAAGCUUUUAAAACUGCUCAUCUUGAGGUAUGGAAGGGAAAGUGGAAUUCCUAGUGUAGCGGUGAAAUGCGCAGAUAUUAGGAGGAAUACCGGUGGCGAAGGCGACUUUCUGGACUUGAACUGACGCUGAGGCACGAAAGCGUGGGGAGCAAACAGG